RNAcentral lists this ribosomal RNA (1390 nucleotides) under uncultured bacterium. Its description in RNAcentral is "bacterial SSU rRNA". It matches the Rfam family "Bacterial small subunit ribosomal RNA". The record is from RNAcentral.
AGAGUUUGAUCCUGGCUCAGGAUGAACGCUGGCGGCGUGCUUAACACAUGCAAGUCGAACGGGAAAUACUUUAUUGAAACUUCGGUCGAUUUAAUUUAUUUCUAGUGGCGGACGGGUGAGUAACGCGUGGGUAACCUGCCUUAUACUGGGGGAUAACAGCCAGAAAUGACUGCUAAUACCGCAUAAGCGCACAGAACCGCAUGGUUCGGUGUGAAAAACUCCGGUGGUAUAAGAUGGACCCGCGUUGGAUUAGCUAGUUGGCAGGGCAGCGGCCUACCAAGGCGACGAUCCAUAGCCGGCCUGAGAGGGUGAACGGCCACAUUGGGACUGAGACACGGCCCAAACUCCUACGGGAGGCAGCAGUGGGGAAUAUUGCACAAUGGGCGAAAGCCUGAUGCAGCGACGCCGCGUGAGCGAAGAAGUAUUUCGGUAUGUAAAGCUCUAUCAGCAGGGAAGAUAAUGACGGUACCUGACUAAGAAGCACCGGCUAAAUACGUGCCAGCAGCCGCGGUAAUACGUAUGGUGCAAGCGUUAUCCGGAUUUACUGGGUGUAAAGGGAGCGCAGGCGGUGCGGCAAGUCUGAUGUGAAAGCCCGGGGCUCAACCCCGGUACUGCAUUGGAAACUGUCGUACUAGAGUGUCGGAGGGGUAAGCGGAAUUCCUAGUGUAGCGGUGAAAUGCGUAGAUAUUAGGAGGAACAUCAGUGGCGAAGGCGGCUUACUGGGCUUUAACUGACGCUGAGGCUCGAAAGCGUGGGGAGCAAACAGGAUUAGAUACCCUGGUAGUCCACGCCGUAAACGAUGAUUACUAGGUGUGGGGGGACUGACCCUUUCCGUGCCGCAGCAAACGCAAUAAGUAAUCCACCUGGGGAGUACGACCGCAAGGUUGAAACUCAAAGGAAUUGACGGGGGCCCGCACAAGCAGUGGAGUAUGUGGAUUAAUUCGAAGCAACGCGAAGAACCUUACCAGGUCUUGACAUCGUAUGCAUAGCUCAGAGAUGAGUGAAAUCUCUUCGGAGACAUAUAGACAGGUGGUGCAUGGUUGUCGUCAGCUCGUGUCGUGAGAUGUUGGGUUAAGUCCCGCAACGAGCGCAACCCCUAUCCUCAGUAGCCAGCAUUUAAGGUGGGCACUCUGGGGAGACUGCCAGGGAUAACCUGGAGGAAGGCGGGGAUGACGUCAAAUCAUCAUGCCCCUUAUGAUUUGGGCUACACACGUGCUACAAUGGCGUAAACAAAGGGAAGCGAGAUUGUGAGAUGGAGCAAAUCCCAAAAAUAACGUCCCAGUUCGGACUGUAGUCUGCAACCCGACUACACGAAGCUGGAAUCGCUAGUAAUCGCGGAUCAGAAUGCCGCGGUGAAUACGUUCCCGGGUCUUGUACACACCGCCCGUCA